RNAcentral lists this transfer RNA (56 nucleotides) under Bos taurus (domestic cattle). It matches the Rfam family "tRNA", at positions 9 to 63 of the family's 71-position model. Rfam says of the family: Transfer RNA (tRNA) molecules are approximately 80 nucleotides in length. Their secondary structure includes four short double-helical elements and three loops (D, anti-codon, and T loops). Further hydrogen bonds mediate the characteristic L-shaped molecular structure. tRNAs have two regions of fundamental functional importance: the anti-codon, which is responsible for specific mRNA codon recognition, and the 3' end, to which the tRNAs corresponding amino acid is attached (by aminoacyl-tRNA synthetases). tRNAs cope with the degeneracy of the genetic code in two manners: having more than one tRNA (with a specific anti-codon) for a particular amino acid; and 'wobble' base-pairing, i.e. permitting non-standard base-pairing at the 3rd anti-codon position. The record is from Rfam by way of RNAcentral. RNAcentral also lists the same sequence under 5 other names. Lineage: Eukaryota; Metazoa; Chordata; Mammalia; Artiodactyla; Bovidae.
AGUCUAGUGGUUAAGACUCUGCACUUCCACUGCAGGGUGUGUGGGUUCAAUCCCUU